RNAcentral lists this small RNA (161 nucleotides) under Streptomyces sp. RNAcentral describes it as "c-di-AMP sequence". It matches the Rfam family "c-di-AMP riboswitch aptamer (ydaO/yuaA leader)". Rfam says of the family: This family represents a conserved RNA structure found upstream of the ydaO and yuaA genes in Bacillus subtilis and related genes in other bacteria. Lineage: Bacteria; Bacillati; Actinomycetota; Actinomycetes; Kitasatosporales; Streptomycetaceae. The record is from RNAcentral.
AAUCCGCGCACACCCACCCGUACACGGCAGGAGCGGGGGACCCACAGGUACAUCGCCUGUUCCGGUCCCGGAACAGGCUUGGGGUCAAGUCGCGUCCCGACGCGGCCGGGCAUCUCCAGCCCGCACCCGACAGCUCACCUCGCAGGCGCCGGAGAGGAAUU